RNAcentral lists this ribosomal RNA (775 nucleotides) under Salinicoccus hispanicus. RNAcentral describes it as "bacterial SSU rRNA". It matches the Rfam family "Bacterial small subunit ribosomal RNA", at positions 59 to 813 of the family's 1533-position model. Lineage: Bacteria; Bacillati; Bacillota; Bacilli; Caryophanales; Staphylococcaceae. The record is from RNAcentral.
CAGUCGACGCGCGUCAUCAGGAGCUUGCUCCUGUGACGCGAGUGGCGGACGGGUGAGUAACACGUAGGCAACCUGCCCAUCAGACCGGGAUAACCACGGGAAACCGUGACUAAUACCGGAUAAUCCUUUUCCUCACAGGAGGGGAAGUUGAAAGGCGGUCUUUUGACUGCCACUGAUGGAUGGGCCUGCGGCGCAUUAGCUAGUUGGUGGGGUAAGGGCCCACCAAGGCGACGAUGCGUAGCCGACCUGAGAGGGUGAUCGGCCACACUGGGACUGAGACACGGCCCAGACUCCUACGGGAGGCAGCAGUAGGGAAUCUUCCGCAAUGGACGAAAGUCUGACGGAGCAACGCCGCGUGAGUGAAGAAGGGUUUCGGCUCGUAAAACUCUGUUGUCAGGGAAGAACGUCCCCGUGAGUAACUGCACGGGGAGUGACGGUACCUGACCAGAAAGCCACGGCUAACUACGUGCCAGCAGCCGCGGUAAUACGUAGGUGGCAAGCGUUAUCCGGAAUUAUUGGGCGUAAAGCGCGCGUAGGCGGUCUGUUAAGUCUGAUGUGAAAGCCCCCGGCUCAACCGGGGAGGGUCAUUGGAAACUGGCAGACUUGAGUGCAGAAGAGGAGAGUGGAAUUCCAUGUGUAGCGGUGAAAUGCGCAGAGAUAUGGAGGAACACCAGUGGCGAAGGCGGCUCUCUGGUCUGUAACUGACGCUGAGGUGCGAAAGCGUGGGGAUCAAACAGGAUUAGAUACCCUGGUAGUCCACGCCGUAAACGAUGAG